AUACGGAGGAUCCAAGCGUUAUCCGGAAUCAUUGGGUUUAAAGGGUCCGUAGGCGGGUUUGUAAGUCAGUGGUGAAAGUUUUCGGCUCAACCGGAAAAUUGCCAUUGAUACUGCAGGUGUUGAAUUAUUGUGAAGUGAUUAGAAUGUGUAGUGUAGCGGUGAAAUGCGUAGAUAUUACACAGAAUACCGAUUGCGAAGGCAGAUCACUAACAAUAUAUUGACGCUAAGGGACGAAAGCGUGGGUAGCGAACAGGAUUAGAAACCCGAGUAGUCC
Molecule: ribosomal RNA, 274 nt
Filed under: uncultured bacterium
Lineage: Bacteria
Description: partial 16S ribosomal RNA
Rfam family: Bacterial small subunit ribosomal RNA
Source: RNAcentral